CAUCUGCCGUGGGGGCAACCCUGACUAGCCUGCCGCGUGAGUGAUGAAGGCCUUACGGUUGUAAAGCUCUUUCGGGGGGAAGAUAAUGACUGUACCCCCAGAAGAAGCCCCGGCUAACUCCGUGCCAGCAGCCGCGGUAAUACGGAGGGGGCUAGCGUUGUUCGGAAUUACUGGGCGUAAAGCGCACGUAGGCGGACGGAGAAGUCAGAGGUGAAAUCCCAGGGCUCAACCUUGGAACUGCCUUUGAAACUUUCUGUCUUGAGGUCGAGAGAGGUGAGUGGAAUUCCGAGUGUAGAGGUGAAAUUCGUAGAUAUUCGGAGGAACACCAGUGGCGAAGGCGGCUCACUGGCUCGAUACUGACGCUGAGGUGCGAAA
This 375-nucleotide ribosomal RNA is filed under the name uncultured bacterium. RNAcentral's name for it is "bacterial SSU rRNA". It matches the Rfam family "Bacterial small subunit ribosomal RNA", at positions 363 to 758 of the family's 1533-position model. The record is from RNAcentral.